GAAACCUUUCAGUUAUAAACACUUAGAAAAUCUGUCUAUGACGCUUUUCAUUGCCAGAUAAAAUAGAUUAGUAUUUUGACCCCAAAAAAAGAAUGCCAAUUUAACUAUUGAUUAUGUUCUUGAGAUGAAAUAAAACCAAGUUGUUUUAUUUAUCUAGAUAAGACAGGCUUCUUUAACUCCCACUGUUUUUUUUCUCCUGCUAAAAACAUCUGGACUUCUGAAACAUCAAAACAUGCCUCUUCAGACCUGUGAAAACAACCAAUAUUAUUUAGACAGGAUAAAACAACAUUAUUUAGACAGGUGAAAACAUUAUUUAGACAGGUGAAAACAUUAUUUAAACAGGUGAAAACAUUAUUUAAACAGGAUAAAACAACAUUAUUUAGACAGGAUAAAACAACAUUAUUUAGACAGGUGAAAACAUUAUUUAGACAGGUGAAAACAUUAUUUAGACAGGAUAAAACAACAUUAUUUAGACAGGAUAAAACAACAUUAUUUAGACAGGUGAAAACAACAGAUAUUAUUUCCUUAUCCGUUAUCUCUAGUCCUCCAUCUCUCUGUCUACC
This is a long non-coding RNA of Oncorhynchus tshawytscha (Chinook salmon), 563 nucleotides long. The record is from Ensembl. Lineage: Eukaryota; Metazoa; Chordata; Actinopteri; Salmoniformes; Salmonidae.